AUGCGGCUAGAGUUCGUCGGCGCCGCACACGGAGGAGACGGGGCGAGGAGGAGCACGAGCCACCGCAACCACCUACCCGACGGUGCUGUCAUGGUUGUCGUCGUUGUGACCUACAGAGAUAGAGAGAGGGAUUUGGAAAAAGGAGACGGGAGCAAGAUGAGAAGACGAAGAAGAAGCACUGCCACCUCCGUCCCCAUCCACUGCUGGGCUCUGCUUUUCAUCCCAAACUUUUCACCUCCACGCCCCUGCAAAUUUCUCCAUCCCUUUCUUACAGAUUCUUUUGGUGUAUGCCUACAAGUUGUUUGA
This 306-nucleotide ribosomal RNA is filed under the name Triticum aestivum (bread wheat). Its description in RNAcentral is "partial small subunit ribosomal RNA". Lineage: Eukaryota; Viridiplantae; Streptophyta; Magnoliopsida; Poales; Poaceae. The record is from RNAcentral.